AGUACACGACGCCGAAGCCCCAGCUAAGUGAUAGCGAGAAACGGUGGCAGCCCCGGGUGAUAUCGCACGAGUUACCGGCCGAAGCGGUGUUGAGAAAACCUUACCCCGAGUCCCUUUGAUCUUCCGCGAUGAGUGAAACAGACGUGGCCGUGCUGACCCACUUGCUCCUCGGCAUGUCUGACGAAGACUUGCGCUCCCUGCAUGGAAGCAGUAUGUGGUGGCUACCGGAUCUUGCCAUUGCUUCGAGGACGGAGGUGAUCACCGCCAUCCGUGGUUCACUGCGAACUUUCCGCUCCCUGGACAAGCGUGUUUACUGCGUCGCCUGGGUUUACUGCUGCCUCGCAGAGCGCCAACUUAUCCGCUGCUGGCAUUGGUAUUCCCUGCGCCCUUGUGAAGCGCAGCUGAACGAUGACAUCAAACUGGAGGAGUGCCUGACGUCCGCCCUGCAAUCCGCCGAAGGCCACACCUUGCACGCGAAGACAGAGCGCGACGAAGCCACCUACGCUUGCAUUAUGACCACGAAUCCGACACGCGCGACAAGGGAGCACGACAUCAUCUGCUUGUGCAUGCCGCGUUCGCUGCCGUACCUUUUCGCCAGUGUUCCGCCGUACGACGAGAGGCGCUUCCAUGGCGCUCUCGAGUCUGUAUUGCAAAUAAGUGUCGACAAGAUCUAUGCCGGUUACAGCAUCCAGCUGCGUGAUGUAUUUGCCAGCGCCGGGGUGUCUUGUAAGCCGCCGUUACCGGUACCCACCGACGCCGAAAAGCGCCCGGAAAGUGGUGUCUGACCUCCAAGUGCUCCGAUAGGUUUGAGCUGACAGUUGCCAACGAAUCCGCAGGAUGCCUCGUGCAGCGAAUGGCGACGAACUAAAUGUAAUUUUCUGUGAAAAGACUGCGACGAGGUCCUCGACCAGAACUGGACAUGUGCAAUCCAAUCAGAAAAUUGCACCAACAAGAUCUGCUUGGUAUGUCCUAUAUGCUGAAGGCGACGUUACACCAGACCUCUGUAGGGCAGGUUGGGGAGGUUCGAACACAGAGAGAAAACGGCGCUCCAGUCGAAAUGAAUGCCCGAUUCUGAAGUUUUGGGCCGAAAAAGGACCUCCAGGAACGUACUGUCCUGCCAGUCAACAGGAAUGCUACGAUGUUUGCCAUGACCCUCGUAUAGGUUCUCAGUAUGUGUGUUGUAUCUAUGAAGUAAUUGUAAUAUUGAACGACCAAGAACUUUUACCUUGUUUAAAUUUUUAGAACUCUAGAGCAUUCCUUGCUGCUCACGUCGUCGAUCGCAAGCCUGUUAGCGCUAGUAACCCUGGAACAAAAUUCAGGUCUCUUAUUUACAUAGGCCUUCAUAGUUGAACUGAAUCUGUUAUCGGGGGAGCUGGGAACAAUUUCUUGCAACCCACCACAUAGGUGGGCGGGCUUACCAGAGCAACAUUUUUGACGACGUCUAGCAAUAGAUUUCAUAAAAAGAUUGAUGUGGGUGGUCAUGAUAUGCUGUGAAACACACGUCCAUUUUGUAACCGCUGUGGUAUAUCAAUGCGGAAUUGAUGUCCUUAUAGCCGUUGCAGGACAUAUCUUUGCGAACCAAUCUCAGAUCUGCGAGCAUUCACUAAAGCAUUUGUAAUCUUCGGUGCUAUGGAUACCACCCGCGCUGUGCUUUUAUUAUUUUUACGCCUCUUAUUACAAGCAAGCUGCUAUAUUACGGUUCUGUGUACGACUCGCUUGUAUAAUAAAUUUCAGAUCUUUUGAGUUUGA
Long non-coding RNA from Dermacentor andersoni, 1749 nucleotides. RefSeq lists it as uncharacterized. NCBI's taxonomy places the organism in Eukaryota, Metazoa, Arthropoda, Arachnida, Ixodida, Ixodidae. The record is from RefSeq and is a predicted model, not a curated record.